UACGAUGCUACGCCCUGUCCUCGCGCCGCUGCGCCGCUCGCGUGCAACCUGUACCCCCAAAACAACACCGGGGUGAGAACUAUAUAAAUAUAGUUCCCAGUGGGUACGNACUACCACUUCGCCCUGAGCUCUUCAAAGCCCUUUGAUAACACACCCUUGGCUUUUCCAAGACUUCCCAACUGAUUCGGAGAUGCCACAAUUUAUCUUUACGCCUUACUUUCAUUUCUUUUAAUCAAAGUUAGCGUCGGAAAUUUUCGGAAAUCCGAAAUUCUCUUUAUAUUUUGUUUCGCGCCCAAUUUGCGCCGAAACACUUAUUUAUCUCCGAAAUUCAUUCCAACGCAUCACAAAUCACUCGAGGAUGAUGUCCAACUAGCUCAAUCCUCACUUUGACCCUCUAGGUCAAAGUUGACAUCGCAAUUCCAAGUUUUCAUAUGUUACAAAAGAGCUACCAACCCGGUCGUCCGAUAAGUGUGUGAAGCUACCACAUAAAAAAUUAAUUGAAUAACCGAAAAGGUUGAAAAAAAUUUGAAUAUGUUAGGUUUUUCGGUGUUAUAAGGUGGUAGGAUGAAAAGAUGCUCAAAGAGCCACCCCCGGUGUCAUAUUAGUUAAAUCUCUAUUUUGAACGACUUGCGACAAAUGGAAGUCAAUUUUGCCGAAUUUCUAAAAAUUAUUUUUUAUUAACCAUUACAUCUUGAUAAUUUUGAAAUAUUAGAUUAUUUUUUAUUUUCAAAUUUUGAUGUUUCGAUGUAUUUUGAAAUCCUAUAAUAUUUUAUCUUCAUCAUAAUGAUUUUUGGAAUACAAUCUUUUAUUUUUAUGAAAUUAAUUUGAUUUUGAAGGGUUUUUGAAGGAAAAAAUUCAUAAUUUUCGAAAUCUAGAAAAGUGUACCGGUACAAAAUACCGUGUACCGGUUAUUUUGUACCGACACAAAUUAUUGUGCCGCAUUUUUUAUAACCGGUCACAGGGUUUUGUUUUCUCUCAAAUCUAUAUCAAAUCACUCCCUUUCUCUCUCUAAAAAUCUCCAGCACCAUUCUCCUUCAGAUCCACGUGGUUUCCUCGAAGAUCUGUAAGUAUUUAGGGUGGAUUUAAUCAUCUAAUCCCGAUUUUACAUAUUUUUCAAAAUUUUUCAAGUUGAAGCAAAAUCUCUGUUCUUAAUCG
This 1155-nucleotide long non-coding RNA is filed under the name Ananas comosus (pineapple). RNAcentral describes it as "long non-coding RNA (ACOM_LNC000604)". The record is from RNAcentral. Lineage: Eukaryota; Viridiplantae; Streptophyta; Magnoliopsida; Poales; Bromeliaceae.